Molecule: long non-coding RNA, 1632 nt
Organism: Oncorhynchus tshawytscha (Chinook salmon)
Lineage: Eukaryota; Metazoa; Chordata; Actinopteri; Salmoniformes; Salmonidae
Source: Ensembl
CGGUUUUAUUACAUUGUAAAUCGAAAAGUUAUUACAUUAACCGUUGUUACAAGACACAGCAUACAUAGUUCAUGCCUAGACCUCAUGGAUAUUAUUAUUCAAAAUAAUAUUGAUUAGUUUUAGGAACAUAGGUCAAUUUAGAUUUGUUUAUUAUUAUAAUAAAAAAUAUAACAUUAGUGAUAUAUUCAUGUUUAGAAUACAAUGGAUUGAAUUUAUUGAUCAAUUGAAUACAUUAAUAUAUACCCAUUGUUGAAACCUUAUUCCGCGUGAGAUUUAAUGACAAUAGUAUCAUGAGUAUAUGAAAGAAGAUUAUCCCCCCACACACAGGUUCACUGUAACAUCUUCUAUGAUAACAUUUAUCCACUCAAAUCACAAAUGUAUGAUAUUACAUAGACACAGGGGAGACCUGAUCCUAGAUCAGAGCUGCAUAUUAUGCUCCACAGAGGUUACCAUGGUGAUCAGACUGAGGCAACUGUUUAAGAAUGGGAGAUGGAUAUGACUGUUCACUAGAUGUUUUCUAUUGAUCCAUUAUUUAGGGAUCUAGAACGGUCCGGAUAGGAGGGAGAUGAAAUAUGUCAUGCUUGUGUUUUCUCAUUGGCCCUAAAUGAACGAAGCUCUUCCCACAUACAGUACCAGUCAAAAGUUUGGACACACCUACCCAUUCAAGGUUGUUGUUUUAAACUAUUUUCUACAUUGUAGAAUAAUAAAGAAUCAAAUCAAAACUUCAUUUGUCACAUGCGCUGAAAACAAGUGCAGACCUGGCCAUCAAAUGCUUACUUUACAAGCCCUUAACCAACAGUGCAGUUCAAGAAGAUGAACUAAAGUAAAAAUGUGUAAAAAAAGUAACACAAAAAACAUAACAGUAACGAGGCUAUAUACAGGGGGUACCAGUACCGAGUCAGUGUGGAGGCUAUAUACAGGGGGUACCGGUACCGAGUCAGUGUGGAGGCUAUAUAAAGGGGGUACCGGUACCAAGUCAGUGUGGAGGCUAUAUACAGGGGGUACCAGUACAGAGUCAGUGUGGAGGCUAUAUACAGGGGGUACCAGUACAGAGUCAGUGUGGAGGCUAUAUACAGGGGGUACCAGUACCGAGUCAGUGUGGAGGCUAUAUAAAGGGGGUACCAGUACCGAGUCAGUGUGGAGGUUAGAGGUCAUUUGUACAUGUAGGUCGGGGUGAAGUGACUAUGCAUAGAUAAUAAACAGCGAGUAGCAGCAGUGUACAAAACAAAUGAGGGGGGGGGGUCAAUGUAAUAGAUGGGUGGCCUCUGUACUACCCUCUGUAGCGCCUUACGGUCAGAUGCCGAGCAGUUGCCAUACCAGGCGGUGAUGCAACAGUUCAGGAUGCUCUCGAUGGUGCAGCUGUAGAACCUUUUGAGGAUCUGAGGACCCAUGCCAAAUCUUAUCAGUCUCCUGAGGUGGAAUAGGAUUUGUCGUGUCCUCAUCACAACUGUCUUGGUGUGUUUGGACCAUGUUAGAUCUUUGGUGAUGUGGACACCAAGGAACUUGAAACUCUUAACUCGCUCCACUACAGCCCGUUGAUGUUAAUGUGGGCCUGUUCGGCCCUCCUUUUCCUGUAGUCCAUGAUCAGCUACUUUGUCUUGCUCACAUUGUGGGAGAAGUUGCUGUCCUGGC